GGGGAUGUGGCGAAAUUGGCAGACGCGCUAGAUUUAGGUUCUAGUCUCCGGGUGUGGGUUCGAGUCCCUCCAUCCCUACCA
RNAcentral lists this transfer RNA (81 nucleotides) under Salmonella enterica subsp. enterica serovar Derby. RNAcentral describes it as "tRNA-Leu". It matches the Rfam family "tRNA". Rfam says of the family: Transfer RNA (tRNA) molecules are approximately 80 nucleotides in length. Their secondary structure includes four short double-helical elements and three loops (D, anti-codon, and T loops). RNAcentral also lists the same sequence under 1 other name. Lineage: Bacteria; Pseudomonadati; Pseudomonadota; Gammaproteobacteria; Enterobacterales; Enterobacteriaceae. The record is from RNAcentral.